AUUGAACGCUGGCGGCAUGCUUUGCACAUGCAAGUCGAACGGUAACAAGCCUUCGGGUGCUGACGAGUGGCGAACGGGUGAGUAAUGCAUCGGAACGUACCCAGAGGUGGGGGAUAACGCAGCGAAAGCUGUGCUAAUACCGCAUGUGAUCUGAGGAUGAAAGCGGGGGACCGAGCAGCAAUGUUUGGCCUCGCGCCUUUGGAGCGGCCGAUGUCGGAUUAGCUAGUUGGUGGGGUAAAGGCCUACCAAGGCGACGAUCCGUAGCUGGUCUGAGAGGACGACCAGCCACACUGGGACUGAGACACGGCCCAGACUCCUACGGGAGGCAGCAGUGGGGAAUUUUGGACAAUGGGCGCAAGCCUGAUCCAGCAAUGCCGCGUGCGGGAAGAAGGCCUUCGGGUUGUAAACCGCUUUUGGCAGGAACGAAACGGUGUCCGCUAAUACCGGGCGCUAAUGACGGUACCUGCAGAAUAAGCACCGGCUAACUACGUG
This 492-nucleotide ribosomal RNA is filed under the name uncultured bacterium. RNAcentral's name for it is "partial 16S ribosomal RNA". It matches the Rfam family "Bacterial small subunit ribosomal RNA", at positions 29 to 507 of the family's 1533-position model. The record is from RNAcentral.